AUUGAACGCUGGCGGUAGGCUUAACACAUGCAAGUCGAGCGAGAAAGGCCUUCGGGCUGAGUAAAGCGGCGGACGGGUGAGUAACGCGUAGGAAUCUGCCUGGUAUGGGGGACAACAUGUGGAAACGCAUGCUAAUACCGCAUACGCCCUACGGGGGAAAGCGGGGGACCUUCGGGCCUCGCGCUACCAGAUGAGCCUGCGUUAGAUUAGCUUGUUGGUGAGGUAAAAGCUCACCAAGGCGACGAUCUAUAGCUGGUCUGAGAGGAUGAUCAGCCACACUGGGACUGAGACACGGCCCAG
This 300-nucleotide ribosomal RNA is filed under the name uncultured bacterium. Its description in RNAcentral is "bacterial SSU rRNA". It matches the Rfam family "Bacterial small subunit ribosomal RNA", at positions 30 to 334 of the family's 1533-position model. The record is from RNAcentral.